Molecule: ribosomal RNA, 236 nt
Filed under: uncultured bacterium
Lineage: Bacteria
Description: partial 16S ribosomal RNA
Rfam family: Bacterial small subunit ribosomal RNA
Source: RNAcentral
CGGGACGGGGUGGAGUAAUGUCUGGGAAACGUGCCUGAUGGAGGGGGGUAACUACUGGAAACGGGGGCUAAUACCGCAUAACGUCGCAAGACCAAAGAGGGGGGACUUCGGGGCCCUUGCCAUCGGAUGUGCCCAGAUGGGAUUAGCUAGUAGGUGGGGUAACGGCUCACCUAGGCGACGAUCCCUAGCUGGUCUGAGAGGAUGACCAGCCACACUGGAACUGAGACACGGUCCAG